AUACGGAGGGUGCGAGCGUUAAUCGGAAUUACUGGGCGUAAAGGGUGCGUAGGCGGCUUGAUAAGUCGGAUGUGAAAGCCCCGGGCUUAACCUGGGAAUUGCAUUCGAUACUGUCAGGCUAGAGUAUGUCAGAGGUUGGAGGAAUUCCUGGUGUAGCGGUGAAAUGCGUAGAUAUCAGGAGGAACACCAGUGGCGAAGGCGGCUAACUGGGACAAUACUGACGCUGAGGCACGAAAGCGUGGGGAGCAAACAGGAUUAGAAACCCUUGUAGUCC
This 274-nucleotide ribosomal RNA is filed under the name uncultured bacterium. RNAcentral's name for it is "partial 16S ribosomal RNA". It matches the Rfam family "Bacterial small subunit ribosomal RNA", at positions 523 to 796 of the family's 1533-position model. The record is from RNAcentral.